RNAcentral lists this non-coding RNA (21 nucleotides) under Arabidopsis thaliana (thale cress). The record is from RNAcentral. Lineage: Eukaryota; Viridiplantae; Streptophyta; Magnoliopsida; Brassicales; Brassicaceae.
UUAUUUUCUUGUGGGUGUCUU